CUGGACUCAGAACGAACGCUGGCGGCAGGCCUAAACCAUGCAAGUUGAACGGCCAUAGCAAUAUGGCAGUAGCGCAAGGGUGAGUAAUGUAUGGGAACGUAUCUUUUGGUGGGGAAUAUCUUUGGAAACGAAGAGCAAUACCGCAUAAGCCUACGGGGGAAAGAUUUAUCGCCGAUUGAGCGGCCCAUAUUGGAUUAGCUAGUUGGUUGGGUAAUGGCCGACCAAGGCUGUGAUCCCAUAGCUGGUCUGAGAGGACGAUCAGCCACACUGGGACUGAGACACGGCCCAGACUCCUACGGGAGGCAGCAGGUAGGAAUAUUGGACAAGUGGGGGCAACCCUGAUCCCAGCCAUGCCGCGUGAGUGUUAAGGCCUUCGGGUUGUAAAGCUCUUUUGUAUGGGAAAAUGAUGAUGGUACCAUAAGAAUAAGCACCGGCUAACUUCGUGCCAGCCGCUGC
Molecule: ribosomal RNA, 456 nt
Filed under: uncultured bacterium
Lineage: Bacteria
Description: bacterial SSU rRNA
Rfam family: Bacterial small subunit ribosomal RNA
Source: RNAcentral